This 252-nucleotide ribosomal RNA is filed under the name Clostridioides difficile. RNAcentral's name for it is "partial 23S ribosomal RNA". It matches the Rfam family "Bacterial large subunit ribosomal RNA", at positions 537 to 788 of the family's 2925-position model. The record is from RNAcentral. Lineage: Bacteria; Bacillati; Bacillota; Clostridia; Peptostreptococcales; Peptostreptococcaceae.
AGUGAAAUAGAACCUGAAACCCUGCACUUACAAGCUGUGGAAGCACAUUUCUUGUGUGACCGCGUACUUUUUGUAGAACGGGCCAACGAGUUACGUUAAGUAGCAAGGUUAAGCACUUAAGGUGCGGAGCCGUAGCGAAAGCGAGUUUUAACUGAGCGUUCAGUUACUUGACGUAGACCCGAAACCGGGCGACCUACCCAUGAGCAGGAUGAAGCGAAAGUAAAAUUUCGUGGAGGUCCGAACCCACGAGCG